This 1595-nucleotide long non-coding RNA is filed under the name Homo sapiens (human). RNAcentral describes it as "non-protein coding LINC01547:5". The record is from RNAcentral. Lineage: Eukaryota; Metazoa; Chordata; Mammalia; Primates; Hominidae.
AAGAUCAACCCUCCCCCAUGGGCUCCUGCCUGCCUGCCAGGUUUUCCUGUCUCCUGGAGGACAAGGAUGAGGGCUUUCCACUUGAGUCUCCCUGGUGGAGCCCAGCUCCUGACAUACCUGGUAAAAGUUCUCAAGAGAAGAACAUGGAGGAGGAAUGUGGAUAACAACCCUGGCUGCCUGUGUGUUCCAAGCUAGGAAGAUGUAAUGUCCCCACAAACGGGGUAAAUGGCUUGCCUGCGUCACAGCUGUCUCAAGCCCAGGCCCUGGGUGCCAGCCCAAGCCCAAGGACUAGGUCCAGAGCCACACAGCGCCAGGCCACAUCCGCCUCACCUGGGACCUUUUGUGGGGUACAGUCUCCGGCCCCACCCAGACCUGCUGAAGGAGAGACCCCAUGGCAAGGACUCAGCCACCUGCAGUUUCAUAAGCCCCCAGUGGGUUCCUAGGCAUGAAGACCACCGGUUAGAGGCUGAACUGGCAGGAACCUGUCUCCAGCCCCUUCUCACCCCAGCCGGGCCCUGCCUCAGAGGCAGCACCCAGGACGUGGCCAUGACCCGUGGACUCCACUCAAUCCCUCUUCUCCAGGAGCCAUGCAAAGUGUCAGCCAGCCAGGCCCCUGGAAGGCAGUCAUCACCUCUUAAGGCAUUGCGGGUGUCGGUCCUGCAACUGCCAGGUGCAGCACACGACCCAUGUCCGGUGUUCGAUAGCAGGGAGCCAUGACCUGGCAACGAUUCCACGCUCAAAGGGGCACCCGGGGGGCCCUGGGUCGGGGCGGAUCAGCUUUCCCUGGGCACAUCUGCCUCAUUCCAGAUCUCCAGGGCUCAUGUCUGUGACAGGGAGGGAAGGCUCUGCCCUGGCCUUCCGUCAGCUCUGCCAGUGCAGGCUGGGCAGCCUGGGCUUUAGAGCUGGCUUCUGCCCACACUUUCUCCGUGAAAGGAAAACAACUAUGAGUCUGCCAAACGCAUCUCAGAUGCGUUUUAAAAAAUUCUGGUCCCCGCUCUCUGUCCCAUCAUCUGCCUCGGGGACUUCCUCUCUCCGUGGUUCUCACCCCAUACUCUGUCACUGCCACAUUUUCACCUGGGCCUGGCCUUUGUCUCCACCUGAAACUCCUGAAAAUCUUGAAAUGGAUUUCUAGGUCACUGGGGACUCCGGCAGCACAUUCGGCUUCAGAAUAAAGGGCGCCCGCGGUCCCCCAGCACCUGCCCAAGCCACACCCCUAGCUUCCCUCCCUAUCCCUGCAGCCUGAGGGUCCCUUCAGCCACCCCUAAGUCCCCACCUGGGCUCCUGCCCCGCCCCUGGCUAGCAGCGCCUUCUCCACCGGGGCCCCUCUGCUCACAGAGCCCCCUCACCUCCCUGGGGAUGAGGGGCCAGGCCAUGACCCUGAAAGCCUAGCCCUGGCCUUGACCUCCCAGGAGCGCCCUCCCCGCCCUCUCCCGGCCCCGGCCCCGUCCUCUGCUGCUGGCCUCUGGGUCGUGCCCCGCAGACUGAGCUGCGCUUGGGGGUCCUGGCGGCCUGGGCCGUCCCGCACCGAACCCAGGCGGUCGGAGCCCGGCGGGGAGGCGCGAGGUCCUUCUGGGGGCUCCUCCGACGCCUGAGGG